CCCGCUGAACUUAAGCAUAUCAAUAAGGCGAGGAACAGAAGCCAACAGGGAUUCCCCUAGUAGUGGCGAAUGAAGCGGGAAAAGCUCAAGUUUGAAAUCUGGAGGGCGACUUCCAGAGUUGUAAGCUGACGAGGCAUCAACCGACAUGGUCUGGGCUUAAUUUCCUUGGAACAGGAGGUCAUGGAGGGUGAGAACCCCGUCUGUGGCUCAGGUGCCAUUGUCCUUGUGUUGUGUCCUUGAAGAGUCGGGUUGUUUGGGAAUGCAGCUCAAAAUGGGUGGUAAAUUUCAUCUAAAGCUAAAUAUUGGCGAGAGACCGAUAGCAAACAAGUAGAGUGAUCGAAAGAUGAAAAGUACUUUGAAAAGAGAGUGAAACAGUACGUGAAAUUGUUGAAAGGGAAGCGUUUGGCAUCAGCCCAUGGCGCCCGUCGAUCAUCCAGGCUUCUGUCUGGUGCACUUGUCGGGUGCUGGGCCAGCGUCGGCUUUGCCCGCCGGAAAAAGGUCUUGGGGAUGUGGCUCCCUUCGGGGAGUGUUAUAACCCUUGGCGUCAUGCGGUGUGGUGGGGCCGAGGUCCGCGGAUUUUUCCUAGGACGCUGGCGUAAUGGUUCCAAGCGGCCCGUCUUGAAACACGG
RNAcentral lists this ribosomal RNA (629 nucleotides) under uncultured fungus. RNAcentral describes it as "eukaryotic LSU rRNA". It matches the Rfam family "Eukaryotic large subunit ribosomal RNA", at positions 24 to 664 of the family's 3401-position model. The record is from RNAcentral. Lineage: Eukaryota; Fungi.